RNAcentral lists this ribosomal RNA (395 nucleotides) under uncultured Acetobacterium sp. RNAcentral's name for it is "bacterial SSU rRNA". It matches the Rfam family "Bacterial small subunit ribosomal RNA", at positions 20 to 403 of the family's 1533-position model. The record is from RNAcentral. Lineage: Bacteria; Bacillati; Bacillota; Clostridia; Eubacteriales; Eubacteriaceae.
UCUGUCAGGACGAACGCUGGCGGUAUGCUUAACACAUGCAAGUCGAACGAGACAAAAGAGAAGUGCUUGCACGGAUCUUUUAGAAAGUGGCGAACGGGUGAGUAACGCGUGGGUAACCUACCCUAUGGAAAGGAAUAGCCUCGGGAAACUGGGAGUAAUGCCUUAUAAGAUAUAUUUGUCGCAUGGCAGAUGUAUUAAACGCUCCGGUGCCAUAGGAUGGACCCGCGUCCCAUUAGCUAGUUGGUGAGAUAACAGCUCACCAAGGCGACGAUGGGUAACCGGUCUGAGAGGGCGAACGGUCACACUGGAACUGAGACACGGUCCAGACUCCUACGGGAGGCAGCAGUGGGGAAUAUUGCGCAAUGGGGGAAACCCUGACGCAGCAAUACCGCGUG